Molecule: long non-coding RNA, 2248 nt
Filed under: Elaeis guineensis (African oil palm)
Lineage: Eukaryota; Viridiplantae; Streptophyta; Magnoliopsida; Arecales; Arecaceae
Description: long non-coding RNA (EGUI_LNC045048)
Source: RNAcentral
GCAACAAAAAGAUAAUUUAUUAUGCUUUACAUUAUUUUUAUUAUUAUUCUUUUACACAUGGGCUUGAAUUUGAGAGUUUAUAACUUUGUUAAACAGCAUAAAUUUAUUGAAAAUAAACAUGACCAUCGGUUUUGUGAGUAAGAAUCAUCUUUGGAGACAGGCAGCUGUCGCCAUUUCCAUCUAAGGUCAUAACUUCUAUUCGAGAUAAUCUGGAGAGGAGGUACAAAUAAGAUCUGGCUAUAAGGUAAUACUCUUGUUUUAGGUAAGGUAGGCUGUAUAACUAGGGUUCCUCUGAGGGGUGACUGACUUGUCAACAUAGGUUGAUCAGGUUGCCACCAGUUAACAUGUUGUUAGAGAUAAAAGGAAUGGGCAACUAAUUUUCCUUCAGAAAAAAUGAUGCAGAUGUUAGGCAUAAGGUUGGACUUCCUACUAGGGCUACUUUGCACUUAAUAUUUACAAGAAUUGCAUUGUGGAACUCAAUUUUUGUGCCGGAGCAAGGACAGUGACAGGCAAGGUUCCUUAAAGGGCAACCUAGGUAUCAGGUAUAAGGUGUGUGAAACAACAUGUUGGUUUGGUUGGUCAUACACAUUGGUUUCCAAAUUUGUUAAUAAGUGUUAGUCUUUGCAGGCUUCAAAGUUAAAUAGUUACAAUGAAGAUGCUUAAAUACAAGAUCGUUAAAGGGCAACCUAGGUAUCAGGUAUAAGGUGUGUGAAACAACAUGUAGGUUUGGUUGGUCAUGCACAUUGGUUUCCAAAUAUGUUAAUAAGUGUUAGUCUUUGUAGGCUUCAAAGUUAAAUAGUUACAAUGACAGGUAAGGUUCCUUAAAGGGCAACCUAGGUAUCAGGUAUAAGGUGUGUGAAACAACAUGUAGGUUUGGUUGGUCAUACACAUUGGUUUCCAAAUUUGUUGAUAAGUGUUAGUCUUUGUAGGCUUCAAAGUUAAAUAGUUACAAUGAAGAUGCUUAAAUACAAGAUCCAAAAGAAAUGUGGUUUUCUAGUUUCUAGGUUGAUUAUACUGGUUCCAUAUAAAGAAAAAGUUGAUGUGCUUAUUAGCAUCAUUAACCCAUGCAAGUAUGCAUGUUCAUGAAUAGCAUUCUUUAAUGAUUCGUGAAAAGAGUAUUUGACUUUCCCUUUUGAACUUGCUUUGUUGCUCAUGGACCCAAUUUUGCUUAUAUUUCCAAAAAAAGGGCAUCCUAGCAUAUGAGUAUUGGAAUUCUGGGUUUGGUGCAUGCAUAUGUGUUUCAAAAUUUUUAUUUUCUAAACACCGUAGUGGAGAAUAAGAUUAAAAUACUUUUAAUCUGAAUUUUGUAUGCAUAAAAAUAUAAAACCACAUGGAUCUAUUUUAUAUGCUGAAAUUGAUAUAUGCUGAAAUUCAGAUUGUGAUCAAAUCACAUACCUGUUUCACAAUUUCUUUCUUCAAAACUAGAUCUGGAAGAGACGAGGCUCUCUGUUAGCCGCACAAAUAUCCGGCCUCUACGAGUAUCCACUCAGGAUUAGCCUGAAACAACCCUCUAUAAUUUAAAUUUUGAUUUUUCAAAAUUCAGCCCAUUGAAUUUGAACGAAGCUUGGAUCGCGAUCAACACUUGAUCUUUCUUCUUGAUCUUCUUUUUUUCCUCUUCUCUAGAGUUUUUCCUUGCUAUGUGCUACUACCAGAUGCUAAAAAUCAGCAAGGAAGAGACAUCCAAACUCCUCUGGGCGUGGAACUUCUUGGGAUGCAUGUCCCAAGGAAGGGGUGUAUAGAACACCCAAGAGAAGAGAAAGGGAAAGGAAGAGAGUGCGUGGGGAGAGCAUUUGGAUAUGAGGGGCUACUGGUUUUGAUGCUCUAGGGACCUUAGGGGAGGUCUCUUUAAAUAGGCAUAAGGAUUGAAUCCUAUUCAAUCUCAUAAUAUAAGUCCUACUUGCAUUAGGAUUUCUAUUAACUUAAGUUAUCCAAUUUACAUUAGGAAGCCUAUUAGGCGCCAAUUAUUGGAGCCCUUGCACUCAUAAUUAGAUAUCCUCUUUUACACCCAAAAGACAUUCCAUAUGAAAACCAAAGGCCCUCUAAUUAAUGGACAUGUCCAAAUUGAUCAAAUCAAAAUGGCGCCCCAUAAUAUCUAUCAAGAAGAUUCAUAAGGGACUUGCACCCUUGAUUUAUAUGAUCCAUAAUCUUAGACACCGAAUAAUUAGAGUUUCAUGAAUCUUAUUCAUGUAGGUUAUUAGCAAGUAAUUAAGUUAGAAUUAUCUUAUCAAAUAAGUAAUCCCAACGGAAA